GACGGAGGGUGCUAGCGUUGUUCGGAAUCACUGGGCGUAAAGGGCGCGUAGGCGGCCCAUGCCGUCGGCUCGUGAAAGCCCGGGGCUCAACCCCGGAGGUGCGGCCGAGACCCAUGGGCUGGAGGCCGGAAGAGGAGGGUGGAAUACCCAGUGUAGAGGUGAAAUUCGUAGAUAUUGGGUGGAACACCGGUGGCGAAAGCGGCUCUCUGGUCCGGUUCUGACGCUGAGGCGCGAAAGCGUGGGGAGCAAACAGG
RNAcentral lists this ribosomal RNA (254 nucleotides) under Arboricoccus sp. Its description in RNAcentral is "partial 16S ribosomal RNA". It matches the Rfam family "Bacterial small subunit ribosomal RNA", at positions 524 to 776 of the family's 1533-position model. RNAcentral also lists the same sequence under 1 other name. Lineage: Bacteria; Pseudomonadati; Pseudomonadota; Alphaproteobacteria; Geminicoccales; Geminicoccaceae. The record is from RNAcentral.